Molecule: ribosomal RNA, 468 nt
Filed under: uncultured bacterium
Lineage: Bacteria
Description: partial 16S ribosomal RNA
Rfam family: Bacterial small subunit ribosomal RNA
Source: RNAcentral
GACGAACGCUGGCGGCGUGCUUAACACAUGCAAGUCGAACGGAAAGGCCCUGCUUUUGUGGGGUGCUCGAGUGGCGAACGGGUGAGUAACACGUGAGUAACCUGCCCUUGACUUUGGGAUAACUUCAGGAAACUGGGGCUAAUACCGGAUAGGAGCUCCUGCUGCAUGGUGGGGGUUGGAAAGUUUCGGCGGUUGGGGAUGGACCCGCGGCUUAUCAGCUUGUUGGAGGGGUAGUGGCUUACCAAGGCUUUGACGGGUAGCCGGCCUGAGAGGGUGACCGGCCACAUUGGGACUGCGAUACGGCCCAGACUCCUACGGGAGGCAGCAGUGGGGAAUAUUGCACAAUGGGCGGAAGCCUGAUGCAGCAACGCCGCGUGCGGGAUGACGGCCUUCGGGUUGUAAACCGCUUUCGCCUGUGACGAAGCGUGAGUGACGGUAAUGGGUAAAGAAGCACCGGCUAACUACGUG